GAUCAUGGCUCAGGAUGAACGCUAGCUACAGGCUUAACACAUGCAAGUCGGAGGGGAAACGACAUCGAAAGCUUGCUUUUGAUGGGCGUCGACCGGCGCACGGGUGAGUAACGCGUAUCCAACCUGCCCAUCACUUGGGAAGUAACCUUGCGAAAGUAAGACUAAUGCCCAAUGAUAUCCCACGAAGGCAUCCGAAUGGGAUUAAAGAUUUAUCGGUGAUGGAGUGGGGAUGCGU
RNAcentral lists this ribosomal RNA (235 nucleotides) under uncultured bacterium. RNAcentral's name for it is "partial 16S ribosomal RNA". It matches the Rfam family "Bacterial small subunit ribosomal RNA", at positions 15 to 236 of the family's 1533-position model. The record is from RNAcentral.